ACCCGGCCAAGCAGCCCUGCUCCCAAAUCUCCUGUACACCCAUACGGGUCCUCUCUCAUCCAAAAGAAGCCCCGAAGGGCUGGGGGGCAGACACGGCGGUUUGCCUCAAACCCCAGAGCGAAGCCGCGGCAGAGCCCCUCCACCCCGCCGCAGGAAUUAACCACCGGACCGCGUUUCCUCCCCGCUUCACCUUAAAACCUCACUCUCCGAUAUCCCAAGGCACCGGGGUUUGGGAACUGCCUUUCCAAGGGCUCGGGGAGUUCCAUGCAGCAUCGUCGGUGCCGCCGCUGCCGCCGCCUAGAAAACGGUGCCGAAUCUCCACCAGCCUCCCCGAGGGUGGGCGCACGCCGGUUUCAAGGCAGCGCUUGGCCGGCGGCCAGGUGCGGGGAGGGCAGCGCCGAAGGUGGGAGGCUGCUUCUCAUUUCCUUCGGGGUUUCGUUUCGCCUUCCCUUUCCUUCCCCCCUCUCCGGUCCUGGGAGGGAGGAAAGAGGCGCGCUCGCAACCAGGGGAAGGAAAACCCUCCCAAAAGCCGGCUUUCAGAGCCACAUCUGCUUCCAGCAGACCUUCCAACGCCGGAUCCCAUUUCGGGCGCUCAGCCCGUAGCCGAGGGUGAUGUGCCAACGCCGAAAAAUCCUUCCCCCCUCGGCCGUGCCCCAAAAACACAAAGCAAAGAAGAGGAGCAAGAGCUGGGAGGGCGUCAGCGGUGCAGGCGGAGCCGGGAGGCCACGCUGCUGCCGCGAGCCCUCCCAGCUGUUAGCAAUCACGCGCCGCAGGGGUCAGAGCCGGCACAGAUCCCAAAUUAUUUCUUGCUUCAAUGCCGGGCGUGUAUUUUGGACGGCGUUUUUCCAGCUUUCGCCGGGGGGAAAAAAACGUCAGCCCUUGUGCCUACCGGCGUUGCCGCCGCUGCCGGCGGAGCGAAGCCCAGGCUGGAGGUUUGGGAAAGUAGGCGCCUCGUUUGGCAAACGAGGAAGGCUUCGUUUAGCAAGCGGAGAAGGUCGGGGGGGCCACGGCAAAGUGGGGCGCGUGCCCCAGGGCUCACCCCGGCCGCUGUUUGUCUGGGGUUUGCCGGGAGAAAGGCAGCUCCUACCCCUCUGGUGCUGCGCAAACCAGGACCACCGGCACACAUCCCCUCCCCAGAGAAUGUGCAAUUACAGCACACCCCAUUUUUUCCCCUUUUUUUUUUUUCUGAAUAAAUGCUGGUAGGCUCCCUCAAAUCCAGCCUAACUCCUGAAACAGACCACCAUGCCACGGAUCAGCAACCCAGACCACCAACUCCACCUUAGAAGAGACCCUAAACGCUGCAAUAACUGAUACUAAGCCCCAGUUUUUCAUCUUGUCUCCCAGCCUGCGGUUUCCUAAACGCCCCUUCUCAUCCCAAAACAUUCUGAAGCCCUUUACAAACUGCACUCCAGCCCCCCGCACCCAUCGGCACACGUGAUUGGGAAACCAGAUACCCGCACGGAGCGGUUUGCAAAGUUAUUAAAAAAAAAAAAAAAAAAAAGCAACAAGGAUCUACUGACCCUGAGAUGGAGCCAAAAACCCACCCGCGACCUAACCCUCGCAGAAUAUAAUACGAAACAGGCGCCUUCCCGAAGAGCUUCCUCCUAAUCCCGCCUCGGUGCUCACCGCUUGGGAUCCACCCACAGACGUGUCACCGCAGGGCCACCACCGUAUCCCCGCCAGCAGCGUCGGGAAGGGCUCCCCAAUCCUCGCCCCACCAUUUGGGCACAAACUUGAG
Calidris pygmaea (Spoon-billed sandpiper) is the source of this 1738-nucleotide long non-coding RNA. The record is from Ensembl. Lineage: Eukaryota; Metazoa; Chordata; Aves; Charadriiformes; Scolopacidae.